CCGUACUGGGAUCUUCUUCCUCCUCGCAUGUCUACCUCUGUCUUCCUCAUCCACCGCCCCUGGUCAGCGACUGUUUCGCCGUCGACCGUGCUGCCUAUCUCCUCGUCGACCUCAUUUUUUCCCUCCCUCUUCCCGGCCGCUGUUGCUAUGACCACCGCCCCUAUUUGGCCUGGUCGUCUCCUAAUAAACUAUUAAAACCGUCUCCACUGCUUGGCCAGCCUAUAUCCUCGGAGCCCCUUGUAAACUCGUUAGAGUUCGGAAAAAGAGGAGAAAUAGAUGAGAAAGAGAAUAAGGAGGUAAAAAAAAAAAAUGGAACCCAUCGCGU
Molecule: long non-coding RNA, 325 nt
Filed under: Sorghum bicolor (sorghum)
Lineage: Eukaryota; Viridiplantae; Streptophyta; Magnoliopsida; Poales; Poaceae
Description: long non-coding RNA (SBIC_LNC011318)
Source: RNAcentral